AGAGUUUGAUCCUGGCUCAGGAUGAACGCUGGCGGCGUGCCUAAUACAUGCAAGUCGAGCGGUAAGGUUCUGCACUUAGUAUUUGAUCUGGGAAAGUCUGUUUACAGAUACUACCCCGAUGACGAUAAGCUCCAAGGCUGGAGAUUAUCAAUCGAAUCCUGAGUGUAGAAUACACGAGCGGCGGACGGCUGAGUAACACGUAGGAACGUACCCCAAAGUGAGGGAUAAGCACCAGAAAUGGUGUCUAAUACCGCAUGUGGCCUUCGGGCUAAAGCUCCGGCGCUUUGGGAACGGCCUGCGUAAGAUUAGCUAGUUGGUGAGGUAAUAGCUCACCAAGGCGACGAUCUUUAGCUGGUCUGAGAGGAUGAUCAGCCAGACUGGGACUGAGAACGGCCCAGACUCCUACGGGAGGCAGCAGUAGGGAAUUUUCCACAAUGGGCGAAAGCCUGAUGGAGCAACGCCGCGUGCAGGAUGAAUGUCUUCGGAUUGUAAACUGCUUUUAUCUGUGACGAAUAUGACGGUAGCAGAUGAAUAAGGACCUGCUAACUACGUGCCAGCAGCCGCGGUCAUACGUAGGGUCCAAGCGUUAUCCGGAAUUACUGGGCGUAAAGAGUUGCGUAGGUGGCAAAGUAAGCGAAUAGUGAAAUGAUACGGCUCAACCGUAUGCCCAUUAUUUGAACUGCUUAGCUAGAGAAUGAGAGAGGUUAUUGGAAUUCCCUGUGUAGGAGUGAAAUCCGUAGAUAUAGGGAGGAACACCGAUGGCGUAGGCAGAUAACUGGCUCAUUUCUGACACUAAGGCACGAAAGCGUGGGGAGCAAACGGGAUUAGAUACCCUGGUAGUCC
This 843-nucleotide ribosomal RNA is filed under the name uncultured bacterium. RNAcentral describes it as "bacterial SSU rRNA". It matches the Rfam family "Bacterial small subunit ribosomal RNA", at positions 8 to 796 of the family's 1533-position model. The record is from RNAcentral.